Molecule: ribosomal RNA, 253 nt
Filed under: uncultured bacterium
Lineage: Bacteria
Description: partial 16S ribosomal RNA
Rfam family: Bacterial small subunit ribosomal RNA
Source: RNAcentral
GACGGAGGGGGCUAGCGUUGUUCGGAAUUACUGGGCGUAAAGGGCGCGUAGGCGGAUUAGUAAGUUGGGAGUGAAAGCCCGGGGCUUAACCUCGGAACUGCUUUCAAAACUGCUAGUCUUGAGUGAAGUAGGGGGUGAUGGAAUUCCUAGUGUAGAGGUGAAAUUCUUAGAUAUUAGGAGGAACACCGGUGGCGAAGGCGGUCACCUGGACUUCAACUGACGCUGAGGCGCGAAAGCGUGGGGAGCAAACAGG